UACGUAGGGGCCGAGCGUUGUCCGGAGUUACUGGGCGUAAAGCGCGCGCAGGUGGCUCAUUACGCCCGGCGUGAAAGCCCCCGGCCUAACCGGGGAGGGUCGUCGGGGACGGGUGAGCUUGAGGGUAUCAGGGGCUGGUGGAAUUCCCGGUGUAGUGGUGAAAUGCGUAGAGAUCGGGAGGAACACCCGUGGCGAAGGCGGCCAGCUGGGAUACACCUGACACUGAGGCGCGAAGGCGUGGGGAGCGAACGGGAUUAGAAACCCCCGUAGUCC
RNAcentral lists this ribosomal RNA (273 nucleotides) under uncultured bacterium. Its description in RNAcentral is "partial 16S ribosomal RNA". It matches the Rfam family "Bacterial small subunit ribosomal RNA", at positions 524 to 796 of the family's 1533-position model. The record is from RNAcentral.